Austrofundulus limnaeus is the source of this 1049-nucleotide long non-coding RNA. RefSeq lists it as uncharacterized. The transcript is spliced from 3 exons. NCBI's taxonomy places the organism in Eukaryota, Metazoa, Chordata, Actinopteri, Cyprinodontiformes, Rivulidae. The record is from RefSeq and is a predicted model, not a curated record.
AAUUACUUGCCAGCUGUACAGUUUGAGUAAAUAGUGAAAUAAAAGCAUCAUGUUUAAUUGCAGCUCUUUAUUUUCUUUGACCUGUCUCUUAAUUUCAAUCAGCACACCUGUGAUCAAUCAUCAGUCAGCCCUCCUGUCCAUGAUGUUUGUCAAAUCCUAUGUCUACCUCUGUGUAUCUUCCCAUGUUACGAGCGCCAUUGUUUUGCCUGACGUUGUCGUUAAAAGGUGCUUUUAAAAAAAAUCCCAUGCUGAGACGUGGGUGCCUUCUGGCCACCUCAGAGUGAGAGGGGUUGAAGCCAGCCCUUUGGCAGUAACAGAGCCGAAACAGUCGACACGUGAAAAGGUUGACGUGGUGACGGGUGAUGGAGGGCGACAUGCCAGCAGGGCUGACGACUGGGGGCUGGGAUGCUAUCCCAUUUCCUGCUCGCUUCUUCAAGGGUAUGUGACUUAAAGAGGUGCUCUGGACAGAAUGGUGUCUUGGAUUCAGAGAGCUGCAUGAACAGCACAGAGGACCUCCUCAGAGCAGCCAGUGUGUGACACAAAAACCCACAUUAAAGCAGUCGUUUGCACUGUUACUUCCCAGCACUGCAAUGGAAAGACGCCACUUUUUAAAGUGCUAACAGCAGAGUUAGAGCUGGCAUUCUACUGACCUGUGUGUGAAGACAGAGACAUAAAGAGAUGUCGGCUGAAGAUUUAACUUAUAAAUACAGAGAUCCUGAAUGCUACAGUACGUGGCUGUUAUGCUAGCUUGAUAAUUAAAAAGCAAUAAAUGAUACUAAUUGUGUCAACAUGGAAAUUUAGUAUAUUAAUGCAAAAAGUAUAAAUUAUUUUGUAACAAUUUUUUGUCCUAAUAAGUGUGUUAUUAUUUAAAAGCAGUGUUUUCUUGAGAUCUAGUGUUGUUGUACUCUUUAUCUUAAAAAUAAAUAAAUAAAUAAAUAAAUGAGGGGGAGGGGUGUAUUAUGCAAACUUGACUUUUUUAAGCUUUAUAUAAUGUCUUUCCCUCAUCAAACACACCCAGAGUGUUGCUUUGACUCAUUCGUGCAUGUUUG